Molecule: ribosomal RNA, 565 nt
Filed under: uncultured Glomeromycotina
Lineage: Eukaryota; Fungi; Glomeromycota
Description: SSU rRNA
Rfam family: Eukaryotic small subunit ribosomal RNA
Source: RNAcentral
UUGGAGGGCAAGUCUGGUGCCAGCAGCCGCGGUAAUUCCAGCUCCAAUAGCGUAUAUUAAAGUUGUUGCAGUUAAAAAGCUCGUAGUUGAAUUUCGGGAUCAAUAUACCGGUCGUGCCUCAGGUAUGAACUGGUCUUAUUGGUUUCUCCCUUCUGACGAACCAUGAUGUCAUUAAUUUGAUGUCGUGGAGAAUCAGGACUGUUACUUUGAAAAAAUUAGAGUGUUUAAAGCAGGCUAACGCUUGAAUACAUUAGCAUGGAAUAAUGAAAUAGGACGUUCGAUCCUAUUUUGUUGGUUUCUAGGAUCGGCGUAAUGAUUAAUAGGGAUAGUUGGGGGCAUUAGUAUUCAAUUGUCAGAGGUGAAAUUCUUGGAUUUAUUGAAGACUAACUACUGCGAAAGCAUUUGCCAAGGAUGUUUUCAUUAAUCAAGAACGAAAGUUAGGGGAUCGAAGACGAUCAGAUACCGUCGUAGUCUUAACCAUAAACUAUGCCGACUAGGGAUCGGAUGAUGUUAAUUUUAUAAUGACUCAUUCGGCGCCUUACGGGAAACCAAAGUGUUUGGGUUC